AGGUGACUGAGGGGAGGGGAGGGGGAGGUUGGGAGGGAGCCGCCGCCGCGCGCGUGCGGGCCGGCGCCGCCGCCGUUGCCGCUCCGCUCACUCCAGCCUGUUUGGGGGCACUUUGUUUGUGUCCCACAAUGCUCUGCGCCGGCGGCCUGGCUGGGGAAGGGGAGGAGAAGGGGGCGGGGCGGAGCGAGCUCGGGGGCGGGGCUCGGGGCGGGGAAGGAAACGUGAUGAUUGCGCAAGCGCAGAAAAUGGGCCCUCUUGGCCGUCGGGACUUGCACUGUUGGUGACUCCGUCUCCUUAGACGGUGGAGCCUGCGUGACCCAGAAAGGCCGCCUCGGGACCCAGACCAGGAUUUCCAUCAGCUCCCCUGGCUUGCAGGCCUUCUGACUUCUGACUCACCAUCAGCUCUCCUGGAUCCAGCUUGCCAAUGGCAGAUCGUGGGACUCCUUGGCCUCUAAUCGCAUGAAACAAUGCCCACGAGAGAAAAUAAAAGCAGUCAGAGGAGAGUGGAGAAUUUCCCCUAUUCCCCAGCAUGUGGAGCCACGGACUCUGCCUUCUCCGAGUCAAGAUGGGGCAGGUCUCACUAUGUUGCCCAUUCUGGUCUUGAACUCUUGGACUCAAGCAAUCCUCCCACCUCGGCCUUCCAAAGUGCUGGAAUCACAGGCUUGAGAUACCAUGCCCAGCCAAUUUAUUGUGGUACAAUCUAAUCCAAAAGGUCAAGAUAAGGACAUUCUAAAUCAAAAAAGAGCUUUAGAAAACCAACAUUUUCCUCCCGAUAUGAAAAGAAGAUCUGGGGCUGAUUAGAGCUGUGACAUCGUUGGAUAAUGACCUUUUACACCUUUCCAGCCAAAGACACCAGGGAUAAAACCAAGACCUUGCCAUAUUGAGAAGUUAGGCCAGGGGGAUUUUCACCUUGCUACAGAAAAAGAAAGGCUGAUGAUCAGGAAUAGAACGGAUCUAAUUUAGGUUCUUGGCUAUUUAGAGGUGAAUAAGCAGGCUCCAUAUGUUUAUAUGGCCUUUCUUCCUACUCAUUAUUAGAAAAUCUUCUUUGGGAAACAGUGUGCCAAGUGGGGAGGUGCCAAUGCUAGAAGAAUGGGUACCAGAAAAUAAGAGCAAUAAGAGCUAAGAGUGGGAAAUACAUAUCACCAUGAUUGAUUUAACCUCUCCCGGCCUCUGUUCUUUCGUCUGUAGUGUGGGAACAACACUAUCUACUGAAGACAGUUAGAACCCUUUUUCUUUAAUAGAGAUGUGGUCUUGCUAUAUUGCCCAGGCUGGCCUCGAACUCCUAGCCUCAAGCGAUCCUCCCACCUCGGCCUCCCAAAAUGUUGGGAUUACA
RNAcentral lists this long non-coding RNA (1333 nucleotides) under Pan troglodytes (chimpanzee). RNAcentral's name for it is "long non-coding RNA NONPTRT002908". The record is from RNAcentral. Lineage: Eukaryota; Metazoa; Chordata; Mammalia; Primates; Hominidae.